Priapulus caudatus is the source of this 497-nucleotide long non-coding RNA. RefSeq lists it as uncharacterized. The transcript has 4 exons. Lineage: Eukaryota; Metazoa; Priapulida; Priapulimorpha; Priapulimorphida; Priapulidae. The record is from RefSeq and is a predicted model, not a curated record.
GGUUUCCACCAGUGCUGGCCGGUCAGUAAGCUUACGCACAGUAUAGCGCCGGGCUGUUAGCACUAUGUAACGCUGGAGCUAGCGUCAGUCAUGAAGAGGUGCAGGUGCUGGCGCGGGGCGGAUCUUUCACGGAGGGAAGCGUGUUCGAGGCGGCCGCUGCCGUCAUGGCGCUGAGCUGUGCGGCUAGGAGCGCCGACAGGGAUGCCGACAGAGCUCGCUUCCUGAUCCGCCGCCCCGCAAAGUUCCUCUGUAACUCACAGCAGAUGGACGGAGGAUUCGGCGACGCGCGCGCCACCGCUGCAGCAAUGCAGGCGUUGGCAAGCUGCUGGUGAUGACGCAUCCACACACUUGGAACUGUUCAUCAGCAUACUUCAGACUCCUCGGCCACCAGGGGGAUGACGGGUCGUUCGGCAGCCUGGCGACGACGCUGGCUGCACUCCGGCCCUACACGGAAGCAGUCUCGUUAGAGACGCAGCGAGCCUGCUGACAGACUCCGC